Molecule: ribosomal RNA, 749 nt
Filed under: Curtobacterium sp.
Lineage: Bacteria; Bacillati; Actinomycetota; Actinomycetes; Micrococcales; Microbacteriaceae
Description: bacterial SSU rRNA
Rfam family: Bacterial small subunit ribosomal RNA
Source: RNAcentral
GAUGAUGCCCAGCUUGCUGGGUGGAUUAGUGGCGAACGGGUGAGUAACACGUGAGUAACCUGCCCCUGACUCUGGGAUAAGCGUUGGAAACGACGUCUAAUACUGGAUAUGAUCACCGGUCGCAUGGUCUGGUGGUGGAAAGAUUUUUUGGUUGGGGAUGGACUCGCGGCCUAUCAGCUUGUUGGUGAGGUAAUGGCUCACCAAGGCGACGACGGGUAGCCGGCCUGAGAGGGUGACCGGCCACACUGGGACUGAGACACGGCCCAGACUCCUACGGGAGGCAGCAGUGGGGAAUAUUGCACAAUGGGCGAAAGCCUGAUGCAGCAACGCCGCGUGAGGGAUGACGGCCUUCGGGUUGUAAACCUCUUUUAGUAGGGAAGAAGCGAAAGUGACGGUACCUGCAGAAAAAGCACCGGCUAACUACGUGCCAGCAGCCGCGGUAAUACGUAGGGUGCAAGCGUUGUCCGGAAUUAUUGGGCGUAAAGAGCUCGUAGGCGGUUUGUCGCGUCUGCUGUGAAAUCCCGAGGCUCAACCUCGGGCUUGCAGUGGGUACGGGCAGACUAGAGUGCGGUAGGGGAGAUUGGAAUUCCUGGUGUAGCGGUGGAAUGCGCAGAUAUCAGGAGGAACACCGAUGGCGAAGGCAGAUCUCUGGGCCGUAACUGACGCUGAGGAGCGAAAGCAUGGGGAGCGAACAGGAUUAGAUACCCUGGUAGUCCAUGCCGUAAACGUUGGGCGCUAGAUGUAGGGAC